GGCAAUGCUUACUUGGGGACAAGCUCACCUCCACCUUGGGGCGGAUGUACCGGUGUUCGGAGCUCGGGUUUGGGAUUCCAGUGUCCUUGAAGUCUCCUGUAGCCCAGAGUGUCCUGGAACUCACUGUCUAGGCAAAGCUCAGCCCUCAGGUGGCUUGCUCCAUCACAGCACCCCCGAGGAACUGCACCCAGCAGCACUAAGAAGACUGAGGCCGGAAGAUCACAAUUUUGAAGGCAACUUGGACUCCAUAAUAAGAAAGACCUAUUUGCAAAAAAAU
This is a long non-coding RNA of Psammomys obesus (fat sand rat), 277 nucleotides long. RefSeq lists it as uncharacterized. The record is from RefSeq and is a predicted model, not a curated record. The transcript is spliced from 3 exons. Lineage: Eukaryota; Metazoa; Chordata; Mammalia; Rodentia; Muridae.